AUGGAAGCUGCUCUCUUGUGAAGACCUGCUAUGUAGUUUCUUCUGUUGGGUCAGAGGUGUACGGGUGGUGCUCUCAUUUCUAUGUUAUUGGUCUAUGGGUAUAGCGUAAAUGGGAAGCCAACAUGCAUAAUCAUGGUUGCCCUCUGUCCUUUGCCAAUGCAAUUGGUUGCUUCCCGUUUAACCAUCCUCUAGUCUACUCUUGGGUUCCAUGGCCUUUAUUCUUCUCUUGUGUGUGUUCCUUCUUUGUUUCGCGACUCUUUAGUGGUUUAAGGAUAGAUCUUCUUUCCUUGUAUGCCAAUGUUUUUCUUGGAGCUGUGUUGUACUAUGGAAAUAGCAAUGAAGACGGUAACUUUAUCGGAUCCUGUCCGGGUUACAAAAAAUGGGUUUCCUCUAGGGUUUGCUAGCUAAAGAGGCCUUGAACCUUAGGGUUAAUUGUGGGCUUUAGUUACAAAAUAGAGUUAGGAUGAUGUAUUGAAUCAUAAGCCUGUGUGAAUAGGCUUUAAGCCAUGUAUUUGGGCUUUAAGCCCUUUUCUAAUCUAAUGAUAUUUCUAUCUUUAAUUAAAAAAAUGCUAGGAAUGGCAAUAGGUCGAG
RNAcentral lists this unclassified non-coding RNA (591 nucleotides) under Hevea brasiliensis (rubber tree). The record is from RNAcentral. Lineage: Eukaryota; Viridiplantae; Streptophyta; Magnoliopsida; Malpighiales; Euphorbiaceae.